This 253-nucleotide ribosomal RNA is filed under the name uncultured bacterium. Its description in RNAcentral is "partial 16S ribosomal RNA". It matches the Rfam family "Bacterial small subunit ribosomal RNA", at positions 524 to 776 of the family's 1533-position model. The record is from RNAcentral.
UACGAAGGGAGCUAGCGUUGUUCGGAAUUACUGGGCGUAAAGCGCAUGCAGGCGGAUCGUUAAGUCGGGGGUGAAAUCCCGAGGCUCAACCUCGGAACUGCCUUCGAUACUGGCGAUCUUGAGUCCGGGAGAGGUGGGUGGAACUGCGAGUGUAGAGGUGAAAUUCGUAGAUAUUCGCAAGAACACCAGUGGCGAAGGCGGCUCACUGGCCCGGUACUGACGCUGAGAUGCGAAAGCGUGGGGAGCAAACAGG